Lacerta agilis (Sand lizard) is the source of this 670-nucleotide long non-coding RNA. RefSeq lists it as uncharacterized. The transcript is spliced from 2 exons. The record is from RefSeq and is a predicted model, not a curated record. NCBI's taxonomy places the organism in Eukaryota, Metazoa, Chordata, Lepidosauria, Squamata, Lacertidae.
UAGGGCUUUAGUUGGAAGAAGAGGAAGCUUGGGCCUUGGCCUGGGCCUGGGCCUAGGGGAUGGUGGGGGGAAGGGAAGAGAACUAGAGGGGAUGCUUCUUUUUCCGCGCAAGGCUAGUAAUUGUUUCUCCCGAGUACGCGCCUGUAAUCAGCGAACGUGCUUUUAGCAGGAGAAGCGUCUCGGAGCGUAAGAUGCUUCAGGAGAGCGAAGGGCCUCUAUCGCGCAUGCGCCGUAACUGUCCGGAUGCUUAAAAGGAGGCUGUUGUUUCGGGGGGGGGGGGGAGGCCUAGCGACGCCGAACAGGAAGAGCCAAGCGCGCCUACAGGGUACUGAGUUUGAAGAUGGGCAGUGGAAGUGGCACAUACCGGUACUUCUGCUAAAAGUGUGUGUUAACAGGGUAGUGGUGAAAUGCUUGUUCUCAACAUUGUUACAACAAUGAAAACAUAAAUAACUUUAGUCCCUGAAACAAAGCUAUCAUAAGCUGUAAAUAUCACAAGUGAAUGCAGUUUAAAUAAUUGAAAUUAAUGUAUAAGAUUUGUUUGCCACUGUAAAGGCACUUUAACUGCUGUGGAGUAAAUUGUGGAAAAUACCUCCUCAAUUUGUACUUUUAUGUGUAUAUAUUACCUUAUGUUGUAGUUUUGAUACAAUAAAAUUAAAAUGGUUUGCAAUUA